AUUGAACGCUGGCGGCAGGCCUAACACAUGCCAGUCGAGCGGAUGAAGGGAGCUUGCUCCUGGAUUCAGCGGCGGACGGGUGAGUAAUGCCUAGGAAUCUGCCUGGUAGUGGGGGAUAACGUCCGGAAACGGGCGCUAAUACCGCAUACGUCCUGAGGGAGAAAGUGGGGGAUCUUCGGACCUCACGCUAUAAGAUGAGCCUAGGUCGGAUUAGCUAGUUGGUGGGGUAAAGGCCUACCAAGGCGACGAUCCGUAACUGGUCUGAGAGGAUGAUCAGUCACACUGGAACUGAGACACGGUCCAGACUCCUACGGGAGGCAGCAGUGGGGAAUAUUGGACAAUGGGCGAACGCCUGAUCCAGCCAUGCCGCGUGUGUGAAGAAGGUCUUCGGAUUGUAAAGCACUUUAAGUUGGGAGGAAGGGCAGUAAGUUAAUACCUUGCUGUUUUGACGUUACCAACAGAAUAAGCACCGGCUAACUUCGCG
RNAcentral lists this ribosomal RNA (484 nucleotides) under uncultured bacterium. RNAcentral describes it as "partial 16S ribosomal RNA". It matches the Rfam family "Bacterial small subunit ribosomal RNA", at positions 30 to 507 of the family's 1533-position model. The record is from RNAcentral.